AAAAUAAAAAUAAAAAAAGGAAAACAUAAGAAUUUUCGAAAGUUUAAAUUUCAAAUAUCAAGACAAAUAAAUAAACAGAAAGUGCUAUAAUCAACAAGAAAGUACAAGAAGAUCAGAAAACAAGAAAAGCCGCUGAUAGUAUCCCAUGCAAUUUACCAAUGGGUAUCCACCGCAUUUAGAGUGCCUGUUGUUAAAUUAGACAAUACAGUCAUCACGAACUCAAAUGAAAUACAUCAUUGAGGAAAAAAAGAGUUCACAUGUCAGCCGUCUCGAAAGAAUUCUGUCUGCGAUGAUUUCUAAUUUUUUUUCUUUUUCCUUUUGUCCACUACCCAGGUUUCUAAUUAGGAAUGUUUAAUAUAUGGUGCUCUUUCUGAGAUAUGUAGAGAUGAUUACCACAUGCAUCAAAGAAAGAAAAAUGCGAGAAAAAAGAAAUUAAUAAAUGAAACCGCAAAUGACAAACUGAGGUGCACAAAAGAAGCAAGCAUUAGCAGCAAAACCCACAACGAAAAAGAAGGGGGAAAAAAGAGCGAAAGAACAAGGUAGGGUAGGAUAAUAAAAAUCUUAAGCCUUCAUUGAAAAGCACUGAUGACUAUUGAAGAAUGCAAACACUUGAAUAUGAAAAUUUUAAAAUAACAAUAAUGCACAUGACAUCGUCAAAACAUUUGUUUAACAAAUUCUAUGGCCCCCGCAAUAAAUCAAAUAGGCAUUCCUGAGAAUCAAUAAAAACUUAAAAUUCCAGAUAUUAAAAAAAUAAUAAUAAAAUUAUUUAGCUCCUAGCUCCUAAGACCUAAGAAGAGCUAAAAUUUUCCACAAUCAAUUUUCCUUUUGAUAAUUCAUUAACAAACAAUUGAGAUGAGCUCAUUACGUGAACUCAAAAGCCACUGCUACUUUCAGAUUCAAACCCAAUAAACAAACGAGGAAGUAGCUAGCUCAAAACGACAAUUUAG
RNAcentral lists this unclassified non-coding RNA (947 nucleotides) under Hevea brasiliensis (rubber tree). The record is from RNAcentral. Lineage: Eukaryota; Viridiplantae; Streptophyta; Magnoliopsida; Malpighiales; Euphorbiaceae.